CCGGGAUUCGAGUUUUGUUGCACAUCUCUAUCACUCGCAUUGACAGCUCCUCUCUAAUCACCUGCAACCAACUUUGCAAUAUCCACAAUGAAUAAAAUGUUAUUAAGGAAAAUAAAGCUUCCACGAGGCGAACAAUUUUUCUGGCUUAGGCGGUCGGCUGAACUUCAAAUAAAUUUUGCCCCGAUGAAGAUGAUAAAGUGGAUGGCGACCAUUGAAGCCAGAGUUCUUAAAUUCACUUGGCGGAUUGCGAGGACGGCUCCUUCCAACCGAACAUUCUUUGGACGUUUGGCCAUUUGGCUUUAUUGCGCGUUCAAAGAGAAGGGGAUUUCGAAUUCGCUCAAAUGUUGAACGGUACAGAACAAAGCAACGGUGUUGAAUGAAGCAUCCACUAGGUAUUAUCGCAACGCAGCAGCAAGUACUAGUACCUACGCGGUUUUAUAACAAAGCUUUAGCGCAUUUAUUAAACAACAAAUUAGUUGUACACAAUUCGAACGCUAAAUAAAAUCAAUGCGAAAUGCCAACCGGACACAUGCCCCAAAUCGGUAUUGGGGUGGGGUUUAGUACCGCUCACAACUAUUUCGGGCUAUUCCGUCCAAAUGGGUGGUCCGAUCCGAAAAAAAUUUCUCACACUUGUAGUCAAGCGUCCACGCAAUAUUUUAACACUCACUUUUGUAAAUUUUGGUUACUAAUUUAUUUACAAAUUGGGUUUGAAAUAUGCCUUUUUUUGUAAAGUUCGGAAAUUAGCGUACAUUUAUCAAUCCUAUUCUGCUUAAAUUAGCCACUUCACCAAUAUAUUUUUGUAUUCCCCUUCACUUUACACUUUACUUGAUUUGUUAUAACUUGCUUUACGAC
Molecule: long non-coding RNA, 852 nt
Organism: Rhagoletis zephyria (snowberry fruit fly)
Lineage: Eukaryota; Metazoa; Arthropoda; Insecta; Diptera; Tephritidae
Source: RefSeq, a predicted model, not a curated record